Molecule: ribosomal RNA, 706 nt
Filed under: uncultivated soil bacterium clone C113
Lineage: Bacteria
Description: bacterial SSU rRNA
Rfam family: Bacterial small subunit ribosomal RNA
Source: RNAcentral
UCGAACGGUAAGUGUUGUAGCAAUAUGACACCUAGAGUGACGUACGGGUGCGUAACACGUAUGCAACCUACCCUUUACAGGCGGAUAGCUCGGGGAAACCCGAAUUAACCCGCCGUGGUAUAAUAGAAUGGCAUCAUUUUAUUAUUAAAACUCCGGUGGUAAAGGAUGGGCAUGCGUCUGAUUAGUUAGUUGGUAGUGUAACGGACUACCAAGACGAUGAUCAGUAGGGGAACUGAGAGGUUGAUCCCCCACACUGGCACUGAGAUACGGGCCAGACUCCUACGGGAGGCAGCAGUAGGGAAUAUUGGUCAAUGGAUGCAAGUCUGAACCAGCCAUCCCGCGUGCAGGAAGAAGGCCCUUCUGGGUUGUAAACUGCUUUUGUCAGGGGAUAAAAUUUCCUUGCGAGGAAAAUUGAAGGUACCUGGCGAAUAAGCCACGGCUAACUACGUGCCAGCAGCCGCGGUAAUACGUAGGUGGCAAGCGUUGUCCGGAUUUAUUGGGUUUAAAGGGUGCGUAGGCGGCCCUGUAAGUCAGUGGUGAAAUAUUUCAGCUCAACUGGAAUUGUGCCAUUGAUACUGCGGGGCUUGAGUACAGAUGAGGUAGGCGGAAUUGACGGUGUAGCGGUGAAAUGCUUAGAUAUCGUCAAGAACACCUAUAGCGAGGGCAGCUUACUAGUCUGUAACUGACGCUGAGCACGAAAGUUGGG